CAGUCGCCGCGGUAAUACGUAGGUGGCAAGCGUUGUCCGGAAUUAUUGGGCGUAAAGGGCUCGCAGGCGGUUUCUUAAGUCUGAUGUGAAAGCCCCCGGCUCAACCGGGGAGGGUCAUUGGAAACUGGGAAACUUGAGUGCAGAAGAGGAGAGUGGAAUUCCACGUGUAGCGGUGAAAUGCGUAGAGAUGUGGAGGAACACCAGUGGCGAAGGCGACUCUCUGGUCUGUAACUGACGCUGAGGAGCGAAAGCGUGGGGAGCGAACAGGAUUAGAUACCGUGUAGUCCCUGUCUCUUAUACA
This 301-nucleotide ribosomal RNA is filed under the name uncultured bacterium. RNAcentral's name for it is "partial 16S ribosomal RNA". It matches the Rfam family "Bacterial small subunit ribosomal RNA", at positions 509 to 808 of the family's 1533-position model. The record is from RNAcentral.